GAAAGCCCGCAGCUCUCACUCGCACAAGCGCCGCCCACGGCCUGUCGGGUGCGCUCUUCUAGGUGCCAGCCCAGCUCCCGGUCGGUUUGCGCCUGCGCAGAGCUUUGGGGGCGCGGCGAGGGAGCAAGGCCUCUGCGACUGCGCAUUGAAGGACUAAGAUGAUGGCGACGGCCGUGCGGCUGGCUUGGAGUUUUGCGGCUGCUGCCGCCGGGCGGCGCAGGCGAUUCUGUCACAUGAUGAAUGCAUAUACCAUUAAGAAACAACCUCUGCAUCAAUUUGUACGAAGACCACUCUUCCCACUACCUGCAGCCUUAUGUAACACAGUAAGAUACAUGUUUAUUCAAACACAAGAUACUCCAAACCCUAACAGCUUAAAGUUUAUACCAGGAAAACCAGUUCUUGAGACAAGGACCAUGGAUUUUCCCACAGCAGCUACAGCAUUUCGUUCUCCUCUGGCUAGGCAAUUAUUUAGAAUUGAAGGAGUAAAAAGUGUCUUCUUUGGACCAGAUUUCAUUACUGUCACAAAGGAAAAUGAAGAAUUAGACUGGAAUUUACUAAAACCAGAUAUUUAUGCAACAAUUAUGGACUUCUUUGCAUCUGGCUUACCCCUAGUUACUGAGGAAACAUCUUCAGGAGAAGCAGGUUCUGAAGAAGAUGAUGAAGUUGUGGCAAUGAUUAAGGAACUGUUAGACACUAGAAUACGGCCAACUGUACAGGAAGAUGGAGGAGAUGUGAUCUAUAAAGGCUUUGAAGAUGGCAUUGUACAGCUGAAACUCCAAGGUUCUUGUACUAGCUGUCCCAGUUCAAUCAUUACUCUGAAAAAUGGGAUUCAGAACAUGCUGCAGUUUUAUAUUCCAGAAGUAGAAGGUGUAGAACAGUUUCCUUCCAUUGUGAUCUGAUGGGAUGCCUGGGAUUAUAUCAAUCUUUUUGUGUUUGCUAAGACUUAUACUGUGACCUAGAAUAUGGUCUGUUUUGGAAAAGAUUCCAUGAGCUGCUGAAAAUAAGGUAAUGGAUGAUGAAGCAGAUGAAAAAGAAGCAAACUCACCAUAAAAUAAUCUAGCAUUUCUUUGAGUACAACAAUUGGACUUAUUGAUAAUAUAUACCAAGCUGUUGUUAUUAAUAUGCUAAGGAACUUGAAGAGUAAUAAAAAAUGCCCAUUCCUCAGAGAAUGAUAUAUAAAUGUUACAUGUUUGUUUUACCUCACAUGAAUUAUUUUUAACAUCCUGAGUCAUCUUCUGUACACGUGGAUUUUGUCCAGGGAUAUUUUUAUUUUUGUUCCUCAUUUCUCAUGGUGCCUUCUUUGCUCAGUAUAUGAAGCAGCGUUUAAAAUACGCUUUUCCCCAUCUGAUUUAUUUACAGUUUUUAUACAGAAGUAAAUAAGGAGAAUGUUUUUAAAAUAUUCUAAAAUGGAUUAACUUUUUUGUGAGACAUCUAAAACUGUUUAAUGGUUCUGGUUUUAAAAUGUUAUCUGGCUAGUAGCCACCAGUGUAACAGCAUAUAACUUCUUGAUGAAAGACCAAAAAAUGUUUUUUAUAUUACAGCUUUAAAAAAAUCACAUUGGAAGCUAGGGAUAUAGUUCAGUGGUAAGGCACUUGCCUAGCAUAUUUUUUUUUUUUGAGAGAGAGAGAGAGAGAGAAUUUUAAUAUUUAUUUUUUAGUUUUUCGGCAGACACAACAUUUGUUUGUAUGUGGUGCUGAGGAUCGAACUCGGGCUGCACGCAUGCCAGGCGAGCAUGCUACCGCUUGGGCCACAUCCCCAGCCCCUUGCCUAGCAUAUUUGAAGCACUGGAUCUGAUGCACAGCACUACAAGAUAAGUAAACAAACUGAAAAUUCAAGGACUAGACACACUUUCAACUGGUUAUAAGCAGAGCUGAAUUGAGAGAAACUGCAGAAUCUCAGAAAAAAGGGAGAGAGACUGCUUUGGUCUUUCUUCCAUUAUCUUCUGAUUCAGAGAGCCAUACAUUAUUUUUAAAAUGUAAAAGCUGUAUUAGUUAAUACUAGUUUCUGUGUCAUGUCAGAAAUUUGAAGUUAUUUCUUCACCACAGGAGUUACUACUGUUAUAGCCAAAAUAACAUAUUAGCCUUCCUUUCUUUUUCUAUAGUAAUUCAGAGAUAGAAGUUCACCAAAAAUACCAGGGAGGUGGUGGGGAGGCAAAUAGCAAUGAUACAUUGCAUUUACAGGGAUUAAGAUAGAUUUGGAGUGUAACCAUCAUUUGACCCAGCUAUCCCCACUCCUCAGUUUAUACCCAAAGGACUUAAAAACAGCAUACUAUUCAUAAUACCUAAAUUGUAGAACCAACCCAGAUGCCCUCCAGUGGAUGAAUGGAUAGGGAAACUUUGGUGUAUAUACACAAUGGAACAUCACUCAACAUUAAAAGAGAAUAAAUUCAUGGAAUUUGCAGGUAAAUGGAUGGAGUUGGAGAAUAUAAUGCUAAGUGAAGUAAGCCAGUCCCCAAAAACCAAAGGCUGAAUGUUUUCUUUGAUAUGAGGAUGAUAACUCAUAAUGGCAAUGGUGGGGGAGCAUGAGAGGAAUGGAGGAACUUUAGAUAGGGCAAAGAGGAGGGAGGGGAAAGGAGAGAGCAAGAUGGUAGGAAUGGCAGUGGAAUGAGUUAGACAUCAUUACCAUAAGUACAUGUAUGAAGACACAAAUGGUGUGAAAAUACUUUGUAUACAACCAGUGACUUGAAAAAUUGUGCUCUGUAUGUAUAAUCUGAAAUGAAUUGCAUUCUGCCAUCGUGUAUAAUAAAUUAGAAUAAAUAAAUAAUUUAAUAAAGGAAAAAAGCAGGAAGAACUCUUUAA
Molecule: RNA transcript, 2798 nt
Organism: Marmota monax (woodchuck)
Lineage: Eukaryota; Metazoa; Chordata; Mammalia; Rodentia; Sciuridae
Gene: Nfu1
Gene name: NFU1 iron-sulfur cluster scaffold
Exons: 9
Source: RefSeq, a predicted model, not a curated record